CCUACGGGUGGCAGCAGUAGGGAAUCUUCCACAAUGGACGAAAGUCUGAUGGAGCAACGCCGCGUGAGUGAAGAAGGGUUUCGGCUCGUAAAGCUCUGUUGGUAGUGGAGAAAGAUAGAGGUAGUAACUCGCCUUUAUUUGACGGUAAUUACUUGGAACGUCACAGCUAACUACGUGCCAGCAGCCGCGGUAAUACGUAGGUGGCAAGCGUUGUCCGGUUUUAUUGGGCGUAAAGCGAGUGCAGGCGGUUCAAUAAGUCUGAUGUGAAGGCCUUCGGCUCAACCGGAGAAUUGCAUCAGAAACUGGUGAACUGGAGUGCAGAAGAGGAGAGUGGAACGCCAUGUGUAGCGGUGGAAUGCGUAGAUAUAGGGAAGAACACCAGUGGCGAAGGCGGCACUCUGGUCUGCAACUGACGCUGAGGCUCGAAAGCAUGGGUAGCGAACAGGAUUAGAUACCCUGGUAGUC
RNAcentral lists this ribosomal RNA (465 nucleotides) under uncultured bacterium. RNAcentral's name for it is "partial 16S ribosomal RNA". It matches the Rfam family "Bacterial small subunit ribosomal RNA", at positions 338 to 795 of the family's 1533-position model. The record is from RNAcentral.